GAACGCUGGCGGCGUGCCUAAUACAUGCAAGUCGAGCGAACAGACGAGGAGCUUGCUCCUCUGACGUUAGCGGCGGACGGGUGAGUAACACGUGGAUAACCUACCUAUAAGACUGGGAUAACUUCGGGAAACCGGAGCUAAUACCGGAUAAUAUAUUGAACCGCAUGGUUCAAUAGUGAAAGACGGUUUUGCUGUCACUUAUAGAUGGAUCCGCGCCGCAUUAGCUAGUUGGUAAGGUAACGGCUUACCAAGGCAACGAUGCGUAGCCGACCUGAGAGGGUGAUCGGCCACACUGGAACUGAGACACGGUCCAGACUCCUACGGGAGGCAGCAGUAGGGAAUCUGCCGCAAUGGGCGAAAGCCUGACGGAGCAACGCCGCGUGAGUGAUGAAGGUCUUCGGAUCGUAAAACUCUGUUAUUAGGGAAGAACAAAUGUGUAAGUAACUAUGCACGUCUUGACGGUACCUAAUCAGAAAGCCACGGCUAACUACGU
RNAcentral lists this ribosomal RNA (493 nucleotides) under uncultured bacterium. RNAcentral describes it as "partial 16S ribosomal RNA". It matches the Rfam family "Bacterial small subunit ribosomal RNA", at positions 31 to 506 of the family's 1533-position model. The record is from RNAcentral.